RNAcentral lists this ribosomal RNA (491 nucleotides) under uncultured bacterium. Its description in RNAcentral is "partial 16S ribosomal RNA". It matches the Rfam family "Bacterial small subunit ribosomal RNA", at positions 29 to 507 of the family's 1533-position model. The record is from RNAcentral.
GUGAACGCUGGCGGUAGGCCUAACACAUGCAAGUCGCACGGCAGCACAGUAAGAGCUUGCUCUUACGGGUGGCGAGUGGCGGACGGGUGAGGAAUACAUCGGAAUCUACUUUUUCGUGGGGGAUAACGUAGGGAAACUUACGCUAAUACCGCAUACGACCUACGGGUGAAGGCAGGGGAUCUUCGGACCUUGCGCGAUUGAAUGAGCCGAUGUCGGAUUAGCUAGUUGGCGGGGUAAAGGCCCACCAAGGCGACGAUCCGUAGCUGGUCUGAGAGGAUGAUCAGCCACACUGGAACUGAGACACGGUCCAGACUCCUACGGGAGGCAGCAGUGGGGAAUAUUGGACAAUGGGCGCAAGCCUGAUCCAGCCAUACCGCGUGGGUGAAGAAGGCCUUCGGGUUGUAAAGCCCUUUUGUUGGGAAAGAAAAGCAGCAGGUUAAUACCCCGCUGUUCUGACGGUACCCAAAGAAUAAGCACCGGCUAACUUCGUG